RNAcentral lists this ribosomal RNA (482 nucleotides) under uncultured bacterium. RNAcentral's name for it is "partial 16S ribosomal RNA". It matches the Rfam family "Bacterial small subunit ribosomal RNA", at positions 29 to 505 of the family's 1533-position model. The record is from RNAcentral.
AUUGAACGCUGGCGGGAUGCUUUACACAUGCAAGUCGAACGGCAGCGCGGACUUCGGUCUGGCGGCGAGUGGCGAACGGGUGAGUAAUGUAUCGGAACGUGCCCAGUAGCGGGGGAUAACUACGCGAAAGCGUAGCUAAUACCGCAUCCGCCCUCCGGGGGGAAGCAGGGGGUCAUAAGACCUUGCACCUUUGGAGCGGCCGAGGUCGGUAUAACUAGUUGGGGGGGUAACGGCUCACCCAGGCGUCGAUCCGUAGCUGGUUUGAGAGGGCGACCCGCCACUGAGGGACUGACACACGCCCCAGACUCCGACAGACGGCAGAAAUGGGGAAUUGUGGACGAAGGGGAGAACCCUGAUCCAGCCAUCCAGCGUGGGCGAUGAAGGCCUGCGGGUUGGAAAGCGCUUUUGGGAGGAAAAAAACGUUGCGGGCUAAUACCCCGUGAAACUGACGGUACCAGCAGAAUAAGCACCGGCUAACUACG